GAGUUGGAAGAGUCAGGGUGAUGGUUUGUAGGAGCUCCAGGGGGACAAAAGCAUGCAACCAGUGUUGAAGACCAGGCUGUGCCCCUUGAGGUGAUUUAAGUGCUCCACAGUGGUCAGCUGGGAAAGAAUUCCAUAAACUUUCAUCAGCACUCAAAUGGAACAAUUUAAGUAUAUUACUGACAUCAGUCUCGCUGAUACUGGUUUUUAACAUACUUUGGAAAGGAAACGGAAAAAAGAGCACUGAAAAUCUCUGGGCUGGACCCUGUGUGAACCCCUCUGGAAGAAAAUGCUGCAGCACAUCUGCACUGGUAAUUAAUUUUAAU
This is a long non-coding RNA of Aquila chrysaetos chrysaetos, 323 nucleotides long. RefSeq lists it as uncharacterized. The transcript has 3 exons. The record is from RefSeq and is a predicted model, not a curated record. Lineage: Eukaryota; Metazoa; Chordata; Aves; Accipitriformes; Accipitridae.